This 328-nucleotide ribosomal RNA is filed under the name Escherichia coli. RNAcentral describes it as "bacterial SSU rRNA". It matches the Rfam family "Bacterial small subunit ribosomal RNA", at positions 1 to 325 of the family's 1533-position model. Lineage: Bacteria; Pseudomonadati; Pseudomonadota; Gammaproteobacteria; Enterobacterales; Enterobacteriaceae. The record is from RNAcentral.
AAAUUGAAGAGUUUGAUCAUGGCUCAGAUUGAACGCUGGCGGCAGGCCUAACACAUGCAAGUCGAACGGUAACAGGAAGCAGCUUGCUGCUUUGCUGACGAGUGGCGGACGGGUGAGUAAUGUCUGGGAAACUGCCUGAUGGAGGGGGAUAACUACUGGAAACGGUAGCUAAUACCGCAUAACGUCGCAAGACCAAAGAGGGGGACCUUCGGGCCUCUUGCCAUCGGAUGUGCCCAGAUGGGAUUAGCUAGUAGGUGGGGUACCGGCUCACCUCGCCGACGAUCCCUAGCUGGUCUGAGAGGAUGCCCAGCCACAUUGGAACUGAGAC